GCGGCCCCACUCGCUGGCCCUUCACCGUGUCCCUGUCCUCGCAGGCUCUCGGUCAGGCACAAGCUGUUACCCCGCAUCCCCAAGGUGAAGAAGGAAAUCACCGGGACCUUUACGCCGCCCCUGGAGGUCGCCUGGGAGGCGGGCCACUUGCCCCAGGAACCCGAGGACGUCCUCAUGGUGGAGGAAAUGUGACUGCCGUGGGGACAAGCGGAAAUUGUGGCUCACCCCCUGCCCCCGCCACUCCUGGAAAUGUCACAUAUCUGCAUCGUCCCCUCACAUCUGGGAAAGGUUUCUCACCUGACCUGCAACACCGCCACCCAAAACCCAGCAGCACGGCUUUCCGGCUUUCUGCUCGUGUCCAUGCGGGCGGGCGGCGUGGGAUGCUAGCCGUCCGUCGGUCCGUGUCUCUGAAGCACAAAGCAAACGCUGAGGGACGUGGAGAGCGGCCGGCAUGCACCCCAGGCCCUGUGUGUUGGUCCUACAGGCUCAGAAGCAACCGGAAAACGGGCAAGAACGUCCACGUGGACUUGUCCACUGGUCACUCCGUCCCUGCAGAGAUUUGGAACCAAGGAGGUAGAAGGUCCCCGUUCCCAUUAUGCACCUAGCCCAUCCCAGCGUGACAAAAGACAGAGGCAUCCGGGCGGUGGGACCGUCUCCAAGGAGAGGGGCUCCCUCCUGGGAACACAUAGGCGCCUUACCGAGCCCUGGGGACACUCACCACGCUGUGAGCUUGGCCGUGGCUGAGGACGUGGGAGGAAAGAAAGAGCAUUUUCUUCAGACAGAUAUGCCCUACCGUCUGCAUUAGGGAAUCGGCACCUGUCUGGAUUCCUUCCAAAGUCGUGUCGUUGCUUUUAAAGACAGCUGUCUCCGUGGCACGUGGGGCCGGGAGGCAGGCGUUUCCACGGAUGUGAAAGGCAUUGGGGUAAAUAUCGCUGCUGAGACAUCCGACGGUCUUGCAGGUCGUUUUUUCCUGAGGUUUUCCUGCGGAAAGCAGGAUCGGGACGUCCUUCUGUCUGUCUCUCCGUGCGUGUCUCUCCUGGAGCUCUCGGGAUAAGGAAAGGGAUUGGGGAAGGGGACCGCCAGCUGUCCCCCCAGGAGGCCGACGCCAGGCACCCAGGACUCGGGAUAGUGACACAGACGUCCGCUUUUCCCGUGCACCUUUCCGCUCGGGGCUCACGGGGCACAGAAUGGGGACGGUCUGUGGCGAAUUUGGGGCAGCGCCCGUCUACCGCGUUUCUCUACAAUGCAUGCUAAAGAUCGCGGUGCAGCUGUGACCAUACAAGGAAGAAAACGCGGUUCCGGACUGUGUGUGCUCAUGCCAGGGCACGAGGAAGCCCACAGGAGGCGCUCACCCACACCUGGGCGGGGAGAUGCGCGCUCCGAUUACACGGGACACCCCGAUCCACUCACAAGUCUACACUGUGGGAAGCCUGGGGGGCUCAGUCGGUGAAGCGUCUGCCUUCGGCUCAGGUCAUGAUCCCAGGGUCUUGGGAUCGAGUCCCACGUCGGGCUCCCUGCUCAGCGGGGACUCUGCUUCUCCCUCUCCUGCUCCCCCUGCUUGGAGAGAUAAAUAAAUAAAAAUGUUUUAAAAAAUAAAAAAAAAAA
This is a long non-coding RNA of Ursus maritimus (polar bear), 1605 nucleotides long. NCBI's taxonomy places the organism in Eukaryota, Metazoa, Chordata, Mammalia, Carnivora, Ursidae. The record is from Ensembl.